GAUGAACGCUGGCUACAGGCUUAACACAUGCAAGUCGUGGGGAAACGGCAUUAUGUGCUUGCACAUUCUGGACGUCGACCGGCGCACGGGUGAGUAUCGCGUAUCCAACCUGCCCCUUACUAGGGGAUACCCCGUUGAAAGACGGCCUAAUACCCGAUGUGUUUCAUUGACGGCAUCCGAUAUGAAACAAAGGUUUUCCGGUAAGGGAUGGGGAUGCGUCUGAUUAGCUUGUUGGCGGGGCAACGGCCCACCAAGGCGACGAUCAGUAGGGGUUCUGAGAGGAAGGUCCCCCACAUUGGAACUGAGACACGGUCCAAACUCCUACGGGAGGCAGCAGUGAGGAAUAUUGGUCAAUGGACGCAAGUCUGAACCAGCCAAGUAGCGUGCAGGAUGACGGCCCUAUGGGUUGUAAACUGCUUUUAUGUGGGAAUAAAGUGGCGCACGUGUGCGCCAUUGCAUGUACCUCAUGAAUAAGGACCGGCUAAUUCCGUGCCAGCAACUGCGGUAAUACGGAAGGUCCGGGCGUUAUCCGGAUUUAUUGGGUUUAAAGGGAGUGUAGGCGGUCUGUUAAGCGUGUUGUGAAAUUUAGGUGCUCAACAUUUAACUUGCAGCGCGAACUGUCAGACUUGAGUACACGCAGCGCAGGCGGAAUUCAUGGUGUAGCGGUGAAAUGCUUAGAUAUCAUGAGGAACUCCGAUCGCGAAGGCAGCCUGCGGGAGUGUUACUGACGCUUAGGCUCGAAGGUGCGGGUAUCGAACAGG
Molecule: ribosomal RNA, 761 nt
Filed under: Prevotella nigrescens
Lineage: Bacteria; Pseudomonadati; Bacteroidota; Bacteroidia; Bacteroidales; Prevotellaceae
Description: bacterial SSU rRNA
Rfam family: Bacterial small subunit ribosomal RNA
Source: RNAcentral